UGCCGCGUGAGUGAAGAAGGCCUUCGGGUUGGAAAGCUCUUUUGUCAGGGAAGAAACGGUGGAGGCUAAUAUCCUUUGCUAAUGACGGUACCUGAAGAAUAAGCACCGGCUAACUACGUGCCACCAGCCGCGGUAAUACAUACGGUGCAAGCGUUAAUCGGAAUUACUGGGCGUAAAGCGUGCGCAGGCGGUUUUGUAAGUUUGUCGUGAAAGCCCCGGGCUCAACCUGGGAAUUGCGAUGAACACUGCUUGGCUUGAAUCUGGCAGACGGGGGUAGAAUUCCACGUGUAGCAAUGAAAUGCGUUUAGAUGUGGAGGAACACCGAUGGGCAAGGCACCCCCCUGGGUCAGGAUUGACGCUCAUGCACGAAAGCGUGGGGAGCAAACAGGAUUAGAUACCCUGGUAGUCCACGCCCUAAACGAUGUCUACUAUUUGUCGGGUUUUAAUUGACUUGGUAACGCAGCUAACGCGUGAAGUAGACCACCUGGGGAGUACGGUCGCAAGAUUAAAACUCAGAGGAAUUGACGGGGACCCGCACAAGCGGUGGAUGAUGUGGAUUAAUUCGAUGCGACGC
This 574-nucleotide ribosomal RNA is filed under the name Oxalobacteraceae bacterium Ri1Ps_4814. RNAcentral describes it as "bacterial SSU rRNA". It matches the Rfam family "Bacterial small subunit ribosomal RNA", at positions 395 to 962 of the family's 1533-position model. Lineage: Bacteria; Pseudomonadati; Pseudomonadota; Betaproteobacteria; Burkholderiales; Oxalobacteraceae. The record is from RNAcentral.